UAAGUAAUACAAAGCAUAUCAUAGGAAAACUACUGAAAAGCAAAGAAAAUAAGAACAUCUUAAAAAUAGCCAGAGAUGAGAGAUUCAUUUGCUAGAGAGGAGCAAUAAUUAGACUAAUAUCUGACUUCUCAAUAAAACACAAAGGGAGCCAGAAAUUAAUGUAAUAUUAUUUUCAGCAUGCUAAGAUAAUGAAAGUGAGGACCUAGACUUCUAUACUCAAUGAAAAUACCCAUCACAAUGGAAGGCAAAUGCUUUUUUUUAGACAGGGAAUAACUGGAAUAAUUUGUCACCAUACAAGAAAAUGAAUAAGGGUAUUUUUUAGGGAGAAGAUAAACUAUUACAAAGUGAUAGAAACACUAAUUAUGAUGUUGGAAGUCAGGAUAGAGGUUGUGUUUAGGGAUGAGAGAUGGAGUAAUUUUGGGAGUGGCCUAAGGAGUCUUCUGAGGUGCUGGUGAUAUGCUACUUAUUGACAUGGAUUUUAUAACACAGGAACAAGAAGGUCUCCAGGAAGAAGGAACAACUGUAUGAUAUUCAUCAUCAAGUAUGGAAGAAAAGAAGAAUGAAGGGCCCUGGAGUCUAUCAUGCCUGAAGGCCAACAUUUCUAAACCCCUUCCUUAUUGUCCAUUUUUCCUAUAUCUGCCUCAAGAUUCUGUAAUUCUUUAAGAUCGUUUUUUGAGACAAUAGUUUGCCAUCUUCUGUUUAUUCUGUCUAAUCAAAUAAAUACUUCCUUUCUCAA
RNAcentral lists this long non-coding RNA (736 nucleotides) under Equus asinus (donkey). RNAcentral describes it as "lncRNA (ENSEASG00005034166.1)". The record is from RNAcentral. Lineage: Eukaryota; Metazoa; Chordata; Mammalia; Perissodactyla; Equidae.